CAGGCGGCGAGGUAAUGGCUGCUGGACGUCAAGGUGACUGAGGCCGUGUGACCAAACUUUGCAUGCUGAGCGAGUCCGGGUCCGAAAGGAAGACAAAAGCCUUCCGUGUGCGUGUGGACGCUGCUGCACACCUGCCAUAUCCAUUCACGUCUGAUGAAAUCGCCGCAGCGACGACGACCACAAAGAUCAUUUUGCUCAGGCCUAGACUUGUCUUGUCUUGUUUUGUUUUGUUACUCCGUGUCACUGCAGCGUGGCUCAUUGCUGCCCUUUCCUCUUUUUAUUACUUCUUUCCCUCUAUACUUCAUUGUGUACAGUAUUGUGCUCCAUGAAUCAUCAAUAAAAAAUGCCAAAUGAAUUUUUUUUUUGCAUGAAAUUUUUUGGCACGUUUUUGUAAA
Rhipicephalus microplus (southern cattle tick) is the source of this 395-nucleotide long non-coding RNA. NCBI's taxonomy places the organism in Eukaryota, Metazoa, Arthropoda, Arachnida, Ixodida, Ixodidae. The record is from RefSeq and is a predicted model, not a curated record.